GCCAGGCAUGGUGGUGCAUGCCUGUAAUCCCAGCUACUUGGGAGGCUGAGGUGGGAGAAUCACUUGAACCCGGAAGGUGGAGGUUGCAGUGAGCCGCGAUCGUGCCACUGCACUCCAACCUGGGCUAUAGAGUGAGACUCCGUCUCAA
This is an unclassified non-coding RNA of Pongo abelii (Sumatran orangutan), 148 nucleotides long. It matches the Rfam family "Metazoan signal recognition particle RNA". Rfam says of the family: The signal recognition particle (SRP) is a universally conserved ribonucleoprotein. It is involved in the co-translational targeting of proteins to membranes. The record is from Ensembl. NCBI's taxonomy places the organism in Eukaryota, Metazoa, Chordata, Mammalia, Primates, Hominidae.